GAAAAAGUCAUGGAGGCCAUGGGGUUGGCUUGAAACCAGCUUUGGGGGGUUCGAUUCCUUCCUUUUUUGUCUAGAUUUUAUGUAUACGGGUUCUUCGAAUGUGUGGUAGGGUGGGGGGCAUCCAUAUAGUCACUCCAGGUUUAUGGAGGGUUCUUCUACUAUUAGGACUUUUCGCUUCGAAGCGAAGGCUUCUCAAAUUAUGAAAAUUAUUAAUAUUACUGCUGUUAGAGAAAUGAAUGAGCCUACAGAUGAUAGGAUAUUUCAUGUGGUGUAUGCAUCGGGAUAGUCCGAGUAACGUCGGGGCAUUCCGGAUAGGCCGAGAAAGUGUUGUGGGAAGAAAGUUAGAUUUACGCCGAUGAAUAUGAUAGCGAAAUGGAUUUUGGCGUAGGUUUGGUCUAGGGUGUAGCCUGAGAAUAGGGGAAAUCAGUGAAUGAAGCCUCCUAUGAUGGCAAAUACAGCUCCUAUUGAUAGGACAUAGUGGAAGUGGGCUACAACGUAGUACGUGUCGUGUAGUACGAUGUCUAGUGAUGAGUUUGCUAAUACAAUGCCAGUCAGGCCACCUACGGUGAAAAGAAAAAUAAAUCCUAGGGCUCAGAGCACUGCAGCAGAUCAUUUCAUAUUGCUUCCGUGGAGUGUGGCGAGUCAGCUAAAUACUUUGACGCCGGUGGGGAUAGCGAUGAUUAUGGUAGCGGAGGUGAAAUAUGCUCGUGUGUCUACGUCUAUUCCUACUGUAAAUAUAUGGUGUGCUCACACGAUAAACCCUAGGAAGCCAAUUGAUAUCAUAGCUCAGACCAUACCUAUGUAUCCAAAUGGUUCUUUUUUUCCCGGAGUAGUAAGUUACAAUAUGGGAGAUUAUUCCGAAGCCUGGUAGGAUGAGAAUAUAAACUUCAGGGUGACCGAAAAAUCAGAAUAGGUGUUGGUAUAGAAUGGGGUCUCCUCCUCCGGCUGGGUCGAAGAAGGUGGUGUUGAGGUUACGGUCUGUUAGUAGUAUAGUGAUGCCAGCGGCUAGGACUGGGAGAGAUAGGAGAAGUAAGACUGCUGUGAUUAGGACGGAUCAGACGAAAAGGGGCGUUUGGUAUUGGGUUAUGGCAGGGGGUUUUAUAUUAAUAAUUGUUGUGAUGAAAUUGAUGGCUCCUAAGAUAGAGGAGAUACCUGCUAGGUAUGCAAGCAGGAGUAGGAGAGAGGGGGGUAAGAGUCAGAAGCUUAUGUUGUUUAUGCGGGGAAACGCCAUAUCGGGGGCACCGAUUAUUAGGGGAACUAGUCAGUUGCCAAAGCCUCCGAUUAUGAUGGGUAUUACUAUGAAGAAGAUUAUUACAAAUGCAUGGGCUGUGACGAUAACGUUGUAGAUGUGGUCGUUACCUAGAAGGUUGCCUGGCUGGCCCAGUUCGGCUCGAAUAAGGAGGCUUAGAGCUGUGCCUAGGACUCCAGCUCAUGCGCCGAAUAAUAGGUAUAGUGUUCC
RNAcentral lists this long non-coding RNA (1459 nucleotides) under Homo sapiens (human). RNAcentral's name for it is "long non-coding RNA NONHSAT150930.1". The stretch from base 1 to 69 matches the Rfam family "tRNA". Lineage: Eukaryota; Metazoa; Chordata; Mammalia; Primates; Hominidae. The record is from RNAcentral.